AACUUGAAGAUUGAGUAAAUCCUGAAGAUUGAAGAGUGAAGCUUAAAGAAGAAUGAUUCCAACUGAAGAAAGGAUUGAAGGUGACUAUUUAUAGAGUUUUUCUUUUCAUCUCAAUUCUGUUAUGGAUUCUCCAUUUAGUUAUAAAGUUUGUUAGAUGGUUUUGAUUCAGUUACCGAGUUGGUUAUAGCGGUUAGUUUCAAGUGAGAAUUGGUUAGAAGUUUAGAUGCAAAUGAAAAUAAUUGAAAUUAACUUGAAAUGUAACUUAAAUUCUGUCUGAAAUACUGCUAUGAAAAUUCUGCUAUGACAGUUAAUGGAGUUUCCGGUUAGCCUUUCGUAGUUGGUUAAAGUUGAUUUUCCCUGUUUAAAAACUGCUAAAUAUUUCAUGAACUGCUGCUAUCCAUUUUUGUCAAUGUGUGGCCUAUGUUGUGAACUUUUUCUGUUAGAAAAUACAAUUAUUAAUUUGUGAUGUUAGGUUGAUUAAUGUUAAAUUAAUUUGUUAUUGCUAGUUUUGAGUUUGGAAAUUGGUGACUACAACAGUUAGAUUAAUCGGCAACUUAGAAUUGACUCUUGGAAUAGGUAAUAACAACUAAUUCCCAUGGGUUUCAUAACAGGUUUUGGAAGUGAUUAGUCAUUGUUCUUGCGCAUGUUUAUUCCGUGUUUGCUGCAGAAUCGCAUUUUUGAUUGGCUCAACAUUGUAUUGGUUCAGAAUUGUUUCGAAUCAGCUCUGUUUUGAUUCGGUAAGUUCUAUUUUGGUUUGGAAUAGAAUUUGCAAUUGGGAUUACCUUUUGGAUCUGGUUUGUGUUCAACUGAAUAAAAUGCGGUUUUUCGACGUUGCUCACAAACCACUAUUUGGCUUCCUUUACUUGAUUCUAGCUCAGACUUAAACUUAUUGUUGCUACUUCUUGCCGGUGCUGAACUUUUGGUUGCUAUGGUUGUGCAGGUCGGUUGAAUGAACUCAUGUUUGCGUAUGGAGUGAUUGAUUUGGAAGGUGGAAACGUUUUGUUUUGUGUAGUUUAUAAUUAGUUUUGGAAAUUCUGUAACUUUGGAUGGGAAUGAAUCAUGAAUUGGAAACAUGGAUUAACUUGUAAUUAAAUGAAGAAUGGGUUUGUAUGGAAUGUCAAUAAAUUGUAUAUUAAACGGGAAUCGUAAUAAACUUAUGGAAAUAUUAUGAAUACAAACUUAGAAAUUUGUGAAUGGCAUUGAAUGUAAGUUUGUGAAUGGCAUUGAAUGUAAGUUUGGGAGAUUUGGAAUGAUUUGAAAUGGCAAAUGUAUUGGGAAUAAAUGGUGUACAAUGUUGAAUGGUUUACAUGAAAAGGGUUAAUGGAAAGGGUAAAGCUUUGUAUGAAAUUGAUUGAAAGUAGAAGGAUUUUGUUUUAGUUUCAAAGAAAUAAAUAAAGCUCACAUCCAAGUAUUGAUUGUUAUUCUAAAACAAAUGAUACAUUAAUAAGUUGAAUUGAGAAAGAAAAAAAAAAGCAAAAUUGGGUUAUGUAAAAUGAUUUGAAA
RNAcentral lists this long non-coding RNA (1503 nucleotides) under Lathyrus oleraceus (garden pea). RNAcentral's name for it is "Pisum sativum (pea) long non-coding RNA (PSAT_LNC020273)". Lineage: Eukaryota; Viridiplantae; Streptophyta; Magnoliopsida; Fabales; Fabaceae. The record is from RNAcentral.